RNAcentral lists this unclassified non-coding RNA (199 nucleotides) under rhizosphere metagenome. RNAcentral describes it as "partial ribosomal RNA internal transcribed spacer region". The record is from RNAcentral.
GUAGGUGAACCUGCGGAGGGAUCAUUACUGAGUGAGGGAGCAAUCCCGACCUCCAACCCUUUGUGAACGCAUCAUGUUGCUUCGGGGGCGACCCUGCCGUUUGCGGCAUUCCCCCCGGAGGUCAUCAAAACACUGCAUCUUUACGUCGGAGUAUAAAGUUAAUUUAAUAAAACUUUCAACAACGGAUCUCUUGGCUCUG